UACGUAGGGGGCUAGCGUUGUCCGGAAUCAUUGGGCGUAAAGCGCGUGUAGGCGGUCCGGUAAGUCCGCUGUGAAAGUCGAGGGCUCAACCCUCGAAUGCCGGUGGAUACUGUCGGGCUUGAGUACGGGAGAGGCGAGUGGAAUUCCUGGUGUAGCGGUGAAAUGCGCAGAUAUCAGGAGGAACACCGAUUGCGAAGGCAGCUCGCUGGAACGUUACUGACGCUGAGGAGCGAAAGCAUGGGGAGCGAACAGG
Molecule: ribosomal RNA, 253 nt
Filed under: uncultured bacterium
Lineage: Bacteria
Description: partial 16S ribosomal RNA
Rfam family: Bacterial small subunit ribosomal RNA
Source: RNAcentral